RNAcentral lists this ribosomal RNA (433 nucleotides) under uncultured bacterium. RNAcentral's name for it is "bacterial SSU rRNA". It matches the Rfam family "Bacterial small subunit ribosomal RNA", at positions 28 to 479 of the family's 1533-position model. The record is from RNAcentral.
GACGAACGCUGGCGGCGUGCCUAACACAUGCAAGUCGAGGGGUGAUUUCGGUCAUCACUGGCGCACGGGUGUGUAACGCGUAGAUCAUCUGCCCCUAUCACUGACAUAACAGUUCUAACGGACUGCUAAUAUCAGAUGAGGUGAGCAAUCAUCAAAGUUUCGACGGAUAGGGAUGAGUCUGCGUCUGAUUAGGUAGUUGGUGAGGUAACGGCUCACCAAGCCGACGAUCAGUAACUGGUCUGAGAGGACGAACAGUCACACUGGAACUGAGACACGGUCCAGACUCCUACGGGAGGCAGCAGUGAGGAAUAUUGGACAAUGGGGGCAACCCUGAUCCAGCGACGCCGCGUGUGUGAAGAAGGCCUGCGGGUUGUAAAGCACUUUUAGUGGGGAGGAAAUGCUCAGACCUAACACGUCUGGGAGCCGCGGUAAU